GAUGAACGCUGGCGGCGUGCCUAAUACAUGCAAGUCGAGCGAAAAGACCGGGAGCUUGCUCCUCUGACGUUGGCGGCGGACGGAAGAGUAACACAUGGAUAACCUACCUCUAAGACUGGGAUAACUUCGGGAAACAGGAGCUAAUAACGGAUAAUAUAUUGAACCGCAUGGUUCAAUAGUGAAAGACGGUUUUGCGUACACUUAUAGAUGACUACGCGCCGCAUUAGCUAGUUGGUAAGGUAACGGCUUACCAAGGCAACGAUGCGUAGCCGACCUAAGCGGGUGAUCGGCCACACUGGAACUGAGACACGGCCCAGACUCCGGCGGGAGGCAGCAGUAGGGAAUCUUCCGCAAUGGGCGAAAGCGUGAUAGAGCAACGCGGCGGGAGUGAUGAAGGUCUUCUGAUCGUAGAGCUCUGUUAUUAGGGAAGAACAAAUGCGUAAGUAACUAUGCACGUCUUGACGGUACCUGAACAGAAAGCCACGGCUAAUUACGUG
This 497-nucleotide ribosomal RNA is filed under the name uncultured bacterium. Its description in RNAcentral is "partial 16S ribosomal RNA". It matches the Rfam family "Bacterial small subunit ribosomal RNA", at positions 28 to 507 of the family's 1533-position model. The record is from RNAcentral.